This 493-nucleotide ribosomal RNA is filed under the name uncultured bacterium. RNAcentral's name for it is "bacterial SSU rRNA". It matches the Rfam family "Bacterial small subunit ribosomal RNA", at positions 28 to 507 of the family's 1533-position model. The record is from RNAcentral.
GAUGAACGCUAGCUACAGGCUUAACACAUGCAAGUCGAGGGGCAGCAUGGUCUUAGCUUGCUAAGGCCGAUGGCGACCGGCGCACGGGUGAGUAACACGUAUCCAACCUGCCGUCUACUCUUGGACAGCCUUCUGAAAGGAAGAUUAAUACAAGAUGGCAUCAUGAGUUCACAUGUUCACAUGAUUAAAGGUAUUCCGGUAGACGAUGGGGAUGCGUUCCAUUAGAUAGUAGGCGGGGUAACGGCCCACCUAGUCUUCGAUGGAUAGGGGUUCUGAGAGGAAGGUCCCCCACAUUGGAACUGAGACACGGUCCAAAACUCCUACGGGAGGCAGCAGUGAGGAAUAUUGGUCAAAUGGACGAGAGUCUGAACCAGCCAAGUAGCGUGCAGGAAGACGGCCCCUAUGGGUUGUAAACUGCUUUUAUAAGGGAAUAAAGUGAGUCUCGUGAGACUUUUUGCAUGUACCUUAUGAAUAAGGACCGGCUAAUUCCGUG